Molecule: ribosomal RNA, 492 nt
Filed under: uncultured bacterium
Lineage: Bacteria
Description: partial 16S ribosomal RNA
Rfam family: Bacterial small subunit ribosomal RNA
Source: RNAcentral
AGUGAACGCUGGCGGUAGGCCUAACACAUGCAAGUCGAACGGCAGCACAGUAAGAGCUUGCUCUUACGGGUGGCGAGUGGCGGACGGGUGAGGAAUACAUCGGAAUCUACUUUUUCGUGGGGGAUAACGUAGGGAAACUUACGCUAAUACCGCAUACGACCUACGGGUGAAAGCAGGGGAUCUUCGGACCUUGCGCGAUUGAAUGAGCCGAUGUCGGAUUAGCUAGUUGGCGGGGUAAAGGCCCACCAAGGCGACGAUCCGUAGCUGGUCUGAGAGGAUGAUCCGCCACACUGGAACUGAGACACGGUCCAGACUCCUACGGGAGGCAGCAGUGGGGAAUAUUGGACAAUGGGCGCAAGCCUGAUCCAGCCAUGCCGCGUGGGUGAAGAAGGCCUUCGGGUUGUAAAGCCCUUUUGUUGGGAAAGAAAAGCAGCGGGUUAAUACCCCGCUGUUCUGACGGUACCCAAAGAAUAAGCACCGGCUAACUUCGUG